AGCGAACGCUGGCGGCAGGCCUAACACAUGCAAGUCGAACGAACCUUUCGGGGUUAGUGGCGGACGGGUGAGUAACACGUGGGAACGUGCCUUUAGGUUCGGAAUAACUCAGGGAAACUUGUGCUAAUACCGAAUGUGCCCUUCGGGGGAAAGAUUAAUCGCCUUUAGAGCGGCCCGCGUCUGAUUAGCUAGUUGGUUGAGGUAAUGGCUCACCAAGGCGACGAUCAGUAGCUGGUCUGAGAGGAUGAUCAGCCACACUGGGACUGAGACACGGCCCAAACUCCUACGGGAGGCAGCAGUGGGGAAUCUUGCGCAAUGGGCGAAAGCCUGACGCAGCCAUGCCGCGUGAAUGAUGAAGGUCUUAGGAUUGUAAAAUUCUUUCAGCUGGGAAGAUAAUGACGGUACCAGCAGAAGAAGCCCCGGCUAACUCCGUG
This 434-nucleotide ribosomal RNA is filed under the name uncultured bacterium. Its description in RNAcentral is "partial 16S ribosomal RNA". It matches the Rfam family "Bacterial small subunit ribosomal RNA", at positions 29 to 507 of the family's 1533-position model. The record is from RNAcentral.